RNAcentral lists this microRNA (21 nucleotides) under Pristionchus pacificus. RNAcentral describes it as "ppc-miR-8222-3p". Lineage: Eukaryota; Metazoa; Nematoda; Chromadorea; Rhabditida; Neodiplogasteridae. The record is from miRBase by way of RNAcentral.
UCCCUGAGGUUCUCGCUGCCG